AUUGGUAGGGAGCACAGCUCCAUGGACAUGUGCAAAGAACAAACAUGUCCAGUUGCAAUUAUAUCACCUCACUGGACAUAACCAAUGGACAUUGACUUUCACUAGGUGUAGCGAAUCACCAAUUUGGAACUGUAUUUAAAAUGCUUGUCCUGCCACAUUGGAGAGUUUUGCUUCAAGGUUAUCAGUGAGACUGGCCACCUUGCUGUCCAUCCCUGGACUCCAUCAUUCCCUGAUGUCCAGCUAUCAGCUGGAGAGAACCACAAGACAAGGACAACAUCUGCUCUUUGGCUAAGAGAAGUUGUGUGACAUCUGAGUGUUCAGAACAACUUUAUAGAACACAACUGUAGAGAAUGAUGAGAAUCUCCUGUCAUUUCCAGAAAUGCCCAUGUCUUUUCUGGGAUGCCAUACCUCCUCUCUCCCGACUUCCACGCGGAGCCUCCAGUUCUUACACGUAUCAGAGCUUCUGAGUUCUUGUAACAUCACCUCUCCCUCUUGCCCCUCCAACCUUAAAGGUAACAGUAGCUCCCACUGCCCCAGGGUGAUUCACCAUCCUUUGGCUUUUCCCUCCUCCAUCUCUUGUGUAAUAAAUUCUAUGUGUUGAAUUUCUUCCAUUAAAACUAAUAGAAUAAUUCA
Marmota flaviventris (yellow-bellied marmot) is the source of this 633-nucleotide long non-coding RNA. RefSeq lists it as uncharacterized. NCBI's taxonomy places the organism in Eukaryota, Metazoa, Chordata, Mammalia, Rodentia, Sciuridae. The record is from RefSeq and is a predicted model, not a curated record.